GGCACUCGGGCGCCAGGCGGUACUCGAGGGACGCGACGACGCCGGGCACCGCGGCGGCUAUGGCCUCGCAGUGGGCGUGGUAGAAGACGGUGGCCGGGGAGAAGAGGACGAAGCCGCUGCCGUGGAAGAAGAGCACGAGACGGGGAGCCUGUUGCUGGUGGCGGGGGAGGGCGGCGGGACGGGGUUGGGCCGAGCGAGGCGUUGAGCGGCACGUCACGGGAGACGGCGGAGCGGCUGGCGGAGGCAGCCUCGGAGGCCGGGACGAGCGGGACUUGGGGGCACGUCACCAUGCCGUCCGGGUUGACGGCGAUUUGCCAACUCCAGCGGUACGGCGUUGGCGGCGGGCGCGGCGGCGUCCGUGAUGUCGUCCAUGGCGAUUCCUCCGAUCGUCUCGACUUGCUUUGUGUGUGUGUGUGUGUGUGUUUCUCCUGCCUUGUGGUGGGGUGCGUUCCUAGCACUGGAGGUGGGCAUUCCAGCCAUGGCGAAAAUUGGAGGCGCUUCAAUACGCGCCGGGAUUUCUCUGUGGACGGAUCUGAUUUGUCAAAGCGCCAUGUCGUGUGACGAGCUGACUGCAGCACCAAUUCGCUGCCGGGUCGUUUCCGAUCGUCUGCAAGGGUGCCCGCGUCUGGCUCGGCACCUUCCCCUCCGUGGGCCCAGGGCCAAGAUCAACUUCCCCUCACCCGCCGACGCUGCCCCCGUCCUCGACCUCGUUGCCGGCGAGGAGGAUGACGACCAUCGCUACACGGCGUCCGUCGGCAACCAUGAGGCCGAGCUCAGCGAGAGCUCCGACUCCGGCGCCCUCCCGGACUUCUCGUGGCAGGGCGUGUCGUGUGGGAGGGACGGGUGUGAGGACGAGGACGAGGACGAGAGUGUGAAAUGAAAGAUGGAGGGAUAUAGAUGAUCACUUUAAAAUUU
Molecule: long non-coding RNA, 915 nt
Filed under: Setaria viridis
Lineage: Eukaryota; Viridiplantae; Streptophyta; Magnoliopsida; Poales; Poaceae
Description: long non-coding RNA (SVIR_LNC011370)
Source: RNAcentral